UACAGCGGUCUCAAGCGUUGUUCGGAUUCAUUGGGCGUAAAGGGUGCGUAGGUGGUGCUGUAAGUCAGGUGUGAAAUCCCGGGGCUCAACCCCGGAACUGCACUUGAUACUGCAGUGCUCGAGGACUGGAGAGGAGAUCGGAAUUCAUGGUGUAGCAGUGAAAUGCGGAGAGAUCAUGAGGAAGACCAGUGGCGAAGGCGGAUCUCUGGACAGUUCCUGACACUGAGGCACGAAGGCCAGGGGAGCAAACGGG
RNAcentral lists this ribosomal RNA (253 nucleotides) under uncultured bacterium. Its description in RNAcentral is "partial 16S ribosomal RNA". It matches the Rfam family "Bacterial small subunit ribosomal RNA", at positions 524 to 776 of the family's 1533-position model. The record is from RNAcentral.